Long non-coding RNA from Oncorhynchus tshawytscha (Chinook salmon), 986 nucleotides. Lineage: Eukaryota; Metazoa; Chordata; Actinopteri; Salmoniformes; Salmonidae. The record is from Ensembl.
GUUAUAUACAGGGGGUACUGGUACAGAGUCAAUGUGGAGGCUAUAUACAGGGGGUACUGGUACAGAGUCAAUGUGGAGGCUAUAUACAGGGUAUUACGGUACAGAGUCAAUGUGGAGACUAUAUACAGGGGGUACCGGUACAGAGUCAAUGUGGAGGCUAUAUACAGGGUAUUACGGUACAGAGUCAAUGUGGAGGCUAUACACAGGGUAUUACAGUACAGAGUCAAUGUGGAGGCUAUAUACAGGGUAUUACGGUACAGAGUCAAUGUGGAGGCUAUAUACAGGGGGUACUGGUACAGAGUCAAUGUGGAGACUAUAUACAGGGGGUACCGGUACAGAGUCAAUGUGGAGGCUAUAUACAGGGUAUUACGGUACAGAGUCAAUGUGGAGGCUAUAUACACGGGGUACCGGUACAGAGUCAAUGUGGAGGCUAUAUACAGGGGGUACCGGUACAGAGUCAAUGUGGAGGCUAUAUACAGGGUAUUACGGUACAGAGUCAAUGUGGAGGCUAUAUACAGGGUGUUACGGUACAGAGUCAAUCUGGAGGCUAUAUACAGGGGGCACGGGUGCUGAGUCAAUGUGUGGGGGCGCCGGUUAGUUGAGGUAGUAUGUACAUGUAGGUAGAGUUAAUUAAAGUGACUAUGCAUAGAUGACAACAGAGAGUGGCAGUGGUGUGGAGAGGUGGGGGGUGAAUUGUCUGGGUAGUCCUUUGACUAGGUGUUCAGGAGUCUUAUGGCUUGGGGGUAGAAGCAGUUAAGAAGCCUCUUGGACCUCGACUUGGCACUCCGGUACCGCUUGCUGUGGGGUAGCAGAGAGAACAGUCUAUGGCUAGGGUGGCUGGAGUCUUUGACAAUUCUUUAGUCUUUCCUCUGACACCGCCUGGUAUAGAGGUCCUGGAUGGCAGGAAGCUUGGCCCCAGUGAUGUACUGGGCCGUACGCACUGCCCUCUGUGCCUUGCGGUCAGAGGCCGGGUAGUUGCCAUACCA